Non-coding RNA from Blastosporella zonata, 94 nucleotides. The record is from the annotation of a GenBank genome assembly. NCBI's taxonomy places the organism in Eukaryota, Fungi, Basidiomycota, Agaricomycetes, Agaricales, Lyophyllaceae.
GGGGGCAUAGCUCAGUUGGGAGAGCAGCAGACUGAAGUUCAGCGUUAGUGUCACACUCUUCUGAAGGUCCCGCGUUCAAUCCGCGGUGCCCCCA